ACGGCAGCAUAGGUGCUUGCACCUGAUGGCGAGUGGCGAACGGGUGAGUAAUGCAUCGGAACGUGCCCAAUCGUGGGGGAUAACGCAGCGAAAGCUGUGCUAAUACCGCAUACGAUCUACGGAUGAAAGCGGGGGACCUUCGGGCCUCGCGCGAUUGGAGCGGCCGAUGUUAGAUUAGGUAGUUGGUGGGGUAAAGGCUCACCAAGCCGACGAUCUAUAGCUGGUCUGAGAGGACGACCAGCCACACUGGAACUGAGACACGGUCCAGACUCCUACGGGAGGCAGCAGUGGGGAAUUUUGGACAAUGGGCGAAAGCCUGAUCCAGCAAUACCGCGUGCAGGAAGAAGGCCUUCGGGUUGUAAACUGCUUUUGUACGGAACGAAAAGGCUCUUUCUAAUAAAGAGGGCUCAUGACGGUACCGUAAGAAUAAGCACCGGCUAACUACGUGCCAGCAGCCGCGGUAAUACGUAGGGUGCAAGCGUUAAUCGGAAUUACUGGGCGUAAAGCGUGCGCAGGCGGUUUUGUAAGACAGGUGUGAAAUCCCCGGGCUUAACCUGGGAACUGCACUUGUGACUGCAAGGCUAGAGUACGGCAGAGGGGGAUGGAAUUCCGCGUGUAGCAGUGAAAUGCGUAGAUAUGCGGAGGAACACCGAUGGCGAAGGCAAUCCCCUGGGCCUGUACUGACGCUCAUGCACGAAAGCGUGGGAGCAAACAGGAUUAGAUACCCUGGUAGUCCACGCCCUAAACGAUGUCAACUGGUUGUUGGGUCUUCACUGACUCAGUAACGAAGCUAACGCGUGAAGUUGACCGCCUGGGGAGUACGGC
This 825-nucleotide ribosomal RNA is filed under the name uncultured beta proteobacterium. Its description in RNAcentral is "bacterial SSU rRNA". It matches the Rfam family "Bacterial small subunit ribosomal RNA", at positions 66 to 886 of the family's 1533-position model. The record is from RNAcentral. Lineage: Bacteria; Pseudomonadati; Pseudomonadota; Betaproteobacteria.